CGGCAGAGUAACGCGUAGGAACGUACCCCAAAGUGAGGGAUAAGCACCGGAAACGGUGUCUAAUACCGCAUAUUCUCUUCGGAGCAAAGCCUUGUGCGCUUUGGGAGCGGCCUGCGUAUGAUUAGCUUGUUGGUGAGGUAAUGGCUCACCAAGGCGACGAUCAUUAGCUGGUCUGAGAGGAUGAUCAGCCUGACUGGAACUGAGACACGGUCCAG
This 215-nucleotide ribosomal RNA is filed under the name uncultured bacterium. RNAcentral's name for it is "partial 16S ribosomal RNA". It matches the Rfam family "Bacterial small subunit ribosomal RNA", at positions 103 to 334 of the family's 1533-position model. The record is from RNAcentral.